UCAGAAUCAACGCUGGCGGCGGUGGCCUAACACAUGCAAGUCGAACGCGAAAGGGGAGCAAUCCCUGAGUAGAGUGGCAAACGGGUGAGUAACACGUGGGUGACCUGCCUUCGAGUGGGGGAUAACGUUCCGAAAGGAACGCUAAUACCGCAUGACAUCCUGCUUUUGGAGAAGCGGAGAUCAAAGCUGGGGAUUCGCAAGAACCUAGCGCUUGAAGAGGGGCCCGCGCCUGAUUAGCUAGUUGGUGGGGUAACGGCUCACCAAGGCUUCGAUCAGUAUCCGGCCUGAGAGGGCGGACGGACACACUGGGACUGAGACACGGCCCAGACUCCUACGGGAGGCAGCAGUGGGGAAUUGUUCGCAAUGGGCGCAAGCCUGACGACGCAACGCCGCGUGGAGGAUGAAGAUUUUCGGAUCGUAAACUCCUGUCGAGUGGGAAGAAUAGCUUCCGGGCGAAUAUCCCGGAAGUCUGUACGGUACCA
RNAcentral lists this ribosomal RNA (482 nucleotides) under uncultured bacterium. RNAcentral describes it as "bacterial SSU rRNA". It matches the Rfam family "Bacterial small subunit ribosomal RNA", at positions 24 to 480 of the family's 1533-position model. The record is from RNAcentral.